This 459-nucleotide ribosomal RNA is filed under the name uncultured bacterium. RNAcentral describes it as "partial 16S ribosomal RNA". It matches the Rfam family "Bacterial small subunit ribosomal RNA", at positions 338 to 795 of the family's 1533-position model. The record is from RNAcentral.
CCUACGGGAGGCUGCAGUGAGGAAUAUUGGUCAAUGGGCGGGAGCCUGAACCAGCCAAGCCGCGUGAGGGAAGAAGGUACAGCGUAUCGUAAACCUCUUUUGUCAGGGAACAAAGGCGGGGACUAGUCCCCGGAUGAGGGUACCUGAAGAAAAAGCAUCGGCUAACUCCGUGCCAGCAGCCGCGGUAAUACGGAGGAUGCGAGCGUUAUCCGGAUUUAUGGGGUUUAAAGGGUGCGCAGGCGGCCUGUUAAGUCAGCGGUAAAAGCCCGGGGCUCAACCCCGGCGAGCCGUUGAAACUGGCGGGCUGGAGUUGGAGAGAAGUACGCGGAAUGCGAGGUGUAGCGGUGAAAUGCUUAGAUAUCGCGCAGAACCCCGAUUGCGAAGGCAGCGUACCGGCUCCACACUGACGCUGAGGCACGAAAGCGUGGGUAUCGAACAGGAUUAGAUACCCCAGUAGUC